CCCUGCAUAAGUUAAUUUAUUCUAGAUUUAUGUUGUGUUUGGCAUUCUGUUAGGCUUAUGCGGAUGGCCCAGGUUUAAUAAAGGGCCCGGUCUUAAUUUGCAAGAAUAACCCCGUCUAAUAAUACCUCCUCCCCCAUCCGAUAACUUUUAUCCUGCGGAUCUAGAUUAAUUUUUUGCUACCCUUCUCGCGAAUUUCGAUGAGAAUUUUGCCCUAGCUUCUCACCGCCUCCAUCGUUUCCCAUUCCAUUUGUGACUGCAGUUUUGGGGGCGAAAAUUUCCAAAGGCAAUUGACGGAAUCCCAUCGGAAAUCUGGACACAGCGGGUGUAACAACAACAUCAUCUUCCGGAUCAGGGAAGCAUAAAGAGGAACGUCUUCACAAACCUGAUAACCCCAAAGGAAAUGUUUGGAAAGAAUGCUACUGAAAAUGAACAAAUCAGUGAGGUGUAAUUACAUGAGAAGCUUGGGGGUACAUAACAAUUUUUUUAUUUUUUUUAGUACGCGCAAUAUUUAUUGAUUUAUGGAGGUGAGGUGGCCAUGGAAGUCGAGAAGGACUAGAGAAUAUGUACUUUCAUAGAAAAUUUAAGUUUGGUUAUUUUUUAUUUUUUUUAGCUUACA
Molecule: long non-coding RNA, 616 nt
Organism: Salvia miltiorrhiza (redroot sage)
Lineage: Eukaryota; Viridiplantae; Streptophyta; Magnoliopsida; Lamiales; Lamiaceae
Exons: 3
Source: RefSeq, a predicted model, not a curated record